UGGAGGUCAUCUCUGGCCCUGUUGGAUGUGUUGUGCUCUGAGCAUUUAACACCUCAUAGGAGUUUAAUGAGCCCCAAAUGUUCAUUGGGCAUUCUCCUUUCAGAGACACAGAACAGCAGUUUUGGUCAAACAGCCUGGAAGCAUAUAUAUAUAUGCACUGACCCAGAGGACAUCCAGCCACCCACCCCAGGCAUGGAUUCCAGGCAACUAAGGAGCUCAGAUCCGGCAAGCACAGAUCACCCACUCAACUUGUAGCCAGGAGGGACCAGUUCCUGGAGCACCACUGACACAGUUGGCUCACCCAGGCAGCUGCAACAGCACAUGAUGACCCUGAGGCAGCACUCUUGCAGGGCCCUGCACCCUCUAGCAUCCAGAUGUUGGCCCUGCACAGGCAAGAGACAGAUGCCUUUUGUGCAAGUUUGCAACACUGCAGCGAUAAGAUGGUCUGCACCAGGGGCCCUGCUCUACCCGGCCUCAAAUCAGAGAUUGGCAGUGCAAGGGUGCCCAGAGAACAUGCAUUCUGACAGAACUGAUCAGCCAGGUCAAGGAAUCUUAUUGUGCUGGCCAUGAUGUCCCAGUGAGCUGCUGCCUCGCGCUCUUCAAUCUUUUGGAAAGCGUUGCAUUUCAUCACCCAAAUCAUCUGUGGCCUGUACAGGCAGUCCUCGCACUUACAGCAGGUUACAUUCCUAGAAAAGGCACUGUAAGUUGAAACGAUGCAAGUCAAAUCUGAUUUUUCCCAUAGAAACUAUGUUAUAACAGGGGGUUACGUUCCUGACCAAGGGCCUGAUGCCCAACUUUUGUGCAAGGUUGUUCCUCUCGCAAUAAUUCUGAACAGCUGGCACAAAACAGUCAGUGAACCAUUCCUCAAAAAGGUCCCCAGUCACCCAAGCUUUAUGAUUUGAUUUCCCAAUGACUGGAAGGCUGCCUUUAACAUAACCCUUAAGUGCUCUGGGAUUUUCAGAGUGAUAAAGAAGCAAGGGUUUGAGCUUGAAAUUACCCGCAGCAUUUGAACCAAGCAAAAGGGUAAGCCUAUCUUUAGCUGCUUUAAAACCAGACAUAUUUUUUCUUGUUGGGCGAGGUAUUUUCUUCCAGAACAGCCCAGUCUCAUCGACAUUGAAGACUUGCUUGGCACAAUAACCUCUUCAAUGAUUUUAGCCAAUUUUUUAGGAAAAUCUUGAGCUGCAAUCUCAUCAGCACUAGCAGCUUCACCUUGCACUCUGAUGUUAUGCAAGACAUACCUGCUUUGAGAGCCCGGAGGGCACUCACCGAAGGCGUGCCCCUAGCCAGGGACAGGAAUCACUUCACGCUGCGAUAGCCAGGCUACAACAGGAACUACCAAUCCGCACCAGCCCGGCUUUACCUCCAUGCCAGGUGAAGCAGACUGGAGCCAAUUUGCAGCGCGGGCUAUAUCUGAAGGCCGGGGGCAGAUGGUGGGGAGAGGGAUGCUGAAGGAGCAGAGCUGGAAAACCGAGGAGCCAGAAGUGUGGGUGAGCCCUUGGUCUGAUGGGGAGGAGGCAGUGACAUCCUCACCGCAGGAGUGAAGAGGAGGGUAGCAGAGGUCAGCCGGCAGAAGGGGAUCCGGGAAAGACCCCUGGGAACCACAGAGGUGAGGGAUCUGCCCAAACCGUUCACUGCAGUGUUGUUUUUUUUUCUCUCCGUACCUUUUUUUUUUCUCCCUUGUGCUUUGAUCUCUCCCGUGGAUGUCUCUUGGCCGGUCAAAGAGUUCCGACCAAGGCCAGGCAUCUGGUCAGGAAGCGAAGAGAAGCGAGUCCCUGGAGAGGCUCUGUGGCUGAGACAAGGGUAGGCAGAAACCUUGAGCAGCGAGGACCAUGUUCCGUCCCCAGCUGAUCACUCUGGAGGGAAUCCCCAGCUGUGGAAGCAGUGCUUGCUGGUAAUUAAGCCUGCUGUGGAUUAGCUUUAAAGUUCUGGGGAAGAGACCAAGGCAGAAAGGUGGACCACUGAAGAUCCUGGGGGAACAGCCUCAGGCAACAGGACACCUUGCAGAUGCCCAGAAGAAGAGGGCAAAGGUCAAAGGACUUUUGGAG
Alligator sinensis (Chinese alligator) is the source of this 2045-nucleotide long non-coding RNA. RefSeq lists it as uncharacterized. NCBI's taxonomy places the organism in Eukaryota, Metazoa, Chordata, Crocodylia, Alligatoridae. The record is from RefSeq and is a predicted model, not a curated record. The transcript is spliced from 3 exons.